Molecule: ribosomal RNA, 333 nt
Filed under: Triticum aestivum (bread wheat)
Lineage: Eukaryota; Viridiplantae; Streptophyta; Magnoliopsida; Poales; Poaceae
Description: partial small subunit ribosomal RNA
Source: RNAcentral
AUGUUGGCUCAGCAUUUACUUGCAGGUGCUGACAAGUAUAGACUGGACAGGCUCAAGGAGAUCUGCGAAGGCAAGCUAUCUGAUGGCAUCAGUGUCGACACAGCAGCAACUACUCUGGCAUUAGCAGAGCAGCACAACUGCCCGCAGCUCAAGGUGAAAUGUGUCGACUUCAUCGUUAGCACUCCUGCAAUUCUUGAUGCUGUGUUGGCGACGGAUGGAUAUAAGCAUCUGGAAGCAAGCUGUCCUAUGGUGUUGCCUGAGCUUCUUAAAUCUGCGGGGCAGAAAGAGUUGACUGGUGACCGUAAGGGUGCUAAAGGUUUGAUCUCUUCGUGA